This 254-nucleotide ribosomal RNA is filed under the name uncultured bacterium. RNAcentral describes it as "partial 16S ribosomal RNA". It matches the Rfam family "Bacterial small subunit ribosomal RNA", at positions 524 to 776 of the family's 1533-position model. The record is from RNAcentral.
UACGUAGGGUGCAAGCGUUGUCCGGAAUUAUUGGGCGUAAAGAGCUCGUAGGCGGUUUGUUGCGUCGGCUGUGAAAUCCCGAGGCUCAACCUCGGGUCUGCAGUCGAUACGAGCAAACUAGAGUGUUGCAGGGGAGACUGGAAUUCCUGGUGUAGCGGUGAAAUGCGCAGAUAUCAGGAGGAACACCCGUGGCGAAAGCGGCUCUCUGGAACCGACACUGACGCUGAGACACGAAAGCGUGGGUAGCAAACAGG